RNAcentral lists this ribosomal RNA (447 nucleotides) under uncultured bacterium. RNAcentral describes it as "bacterial SSU rRNA". It matches the Rfam family "Bacterial small subunit ribosomal RNA", at positions 355 to 825 of the family's 1533-position model. The record is from RNAcentral.
UCGGGAAUUUUGGGCAAUGGGCGAAAGCCUGACCCAGCAACGCCGCGUGAAGGAUGAAGUAUUUCGGUAUGUAAACUUCGUAAGAAUAGGAAGAAUAAAUGACGGUACUAUUUGUAAGGUCCGGCUAACUACGUGCCAGCAGCCGCGGUAAUACGUAGGGACCAAGCGUUGUUCGGAUUUACUGGGCGUAAAGGGCGCGUAGGCGGUGUGUCAAGUCAGUUGUGAAAUCUCCGAGCUUAACUCGGAACGGUCAACUGAUACUGUCACACUAGAGUACAGAAGGGGCAAUCGGAAUUCUUGGUGUAGCGGUGAAAUGCGUAGAUAUCAAGAGGAACACCUGAGGCGAAGGCGGGUUGCUGGGCUGAUACUGACGCUGAGGCGCGAAAGCGUGGGGAGCAAACAGGAUUAGAUACCCAUGUAGUCCCUGAGCGGGCUGGCAAGGCGCAU